CACAUUCAAAGAGUGCGUAAUAGCUCACUAGUCGAGAGGUCCUGCGCCGAAAAUUUCCGGGGCUAAAACACGAUACCGAAGCUUAGGAAUGUAGCAAUACAUUGGUAGAGGAGCAAUCUCAGAGUGCCGAAGCGUUACCGUAAGGAAGCGUGGAGUUCUGAGAAGAGAGAAUGCCGGAAUGAGUAGCGAGAAUGAUGUGAGAAUCAUCAUGGCCGAAUAUCCAAGGAUUCCAGGGUAAAGCUGAUCUGCCCUGGGUAAGUCGGGACCUAAGGCGAGGGAGAAAUCCGUAGUCGAUGGACAGCAGGUUCAUAUUCCUGCACCUGACAUGAUCAGAACUGUGGGGACACAGGAACAAAACCGGACCCGGGAGAGCAAAGACCGGGCGAAGCGAAGAUAGGAGUGCGGUAGGCAAAUCCGCCGCACAAUCCGAAAGCGUGAUAGGGAGCGAAAAAUAAGUAGCGAAGCCGGUGGAGGGACUGUCGAGAAAAGCCGCUAUUGUAUCAUGUCAGCCCGUACCGCAAACCGACACAGGUGGAUGAGGAGAGAAUCCUAAGGCCGGCGGGAGAAGCAUUGUUAAGGAACUCGGCAAAAUGACCCCGUAACUUCGGGAGAAGGGGUGCUGCAGAGAUGCAGCCGCAGAGAAAAGGCUCAAGCAACUGUUUAGCAAAAACACAGGUCUAUGCGAAACCGUAAGGUGAGGUAUAUGGGCUGACGCCUGCCCGGUGCUGGAAGGUUAAGAGGAGAGGUUAGCGCAAGCGAAGCUUUGAAUUUAAGCCCCAGUAAACGGCGGCCGUAACUAUAACGGUCCUAAGGUAGCGAAAUUCCUUGUCGGGUAAGUUCCGACCCGCACGAAAGGCGUAAUGAUUUGAGCGCUGUCUCAACAAUGCACCCGGUGAAAUUGAAGUACCAGUGAAGAUGCUGGUGACCUGCGCCAGGACGGAAAGACCCCAUGGAGCUUUACUCCAGCUUGAUACCGGGAUUCGGUGUUACUCGUACAGGAUAGGUGGGAGGCUAAGAAGGAAGGACGCCAGUCUUUCCGGAGCCGCUGUUGGGAUACCACCCCUGUGGCACUGGAUUUCUAACCUACAUCCGUAAUCCGGAUGGGGGACAAUGUCAGGUGGGGAGUUUGACUGGGGCGGUCGCCUCCGAAAGAGUAUCGGAGGCGCUCAAAGGUUCCCUCAGAAUGGUUGGAAACCAUUCGAAGAGCGCAAAGGCAGAAGGGAGCUUGACUGCGACACCGACGGGUGGAGCAGGUACGAAAGUAGGACUUAGUGAUCCGGUGGUAUAAAGUGGGAUUGCCAUCGCUCAACGGAUAAAAGCUACCCUGGGGAUAACAGGCUUAUCACUCCCAAGAGUUCACAUCGACGGAGUGGUUUGGCACCUCGAUGUCGGCUCAUCGCAUCCUGGGGCUG
RNAcentral lists this ribosomal RNA (1412 nucleotides) under human oral metagenome. RNAcentral describes it as "bacterial LSU rRNA". It matches the Rfam family "Bacterial large subunit ribosomal RNA", at positions 1118 to 2555 of the family's 2925-position model. The record is from RNAcentral.